Molecule: ribosomal RNA, 480 nt
Filed under: uncultured bacterium
Lineage: Bacteria
Description: partial 16S ribosomal RNA
Rfam family: Bacterial small subunit ribosomal RNA
Source: RNAcentral
GAUGAACGCUAGCGGCAGGCCUAACACAUGCAAGUCGAGGGGUAGAAGGAGCUUGCUCCUUUGAGACCGGCGCACGGGUGCGUAACGCGUAUGCAAUCUACCUUGUACAGGGGAAUAGCCCAGAGAAAUUUGGAUUAAUGCCCCAUAGUAUAUAACCUUCGCAUGUCGGUUAUAUUAAAGUUCCAACGGUACAAGAUGAGCAUGCGUCCCAUUAGUUAGUUGGUAAGGUAACGGCUUACCAAGACGAUGAUGGGUAGGGGUCCUGAGAGGGAGAUCCCCCACACUGGUACUGAGACACGGACCAGACUCCUACGGGAGGCAGCAGUGAGGAAUAUUGGUCAAUGGUCGCAAGACUGAACCAGCCAUGCCGCGUGCAGGAAGACGGUCCUAUGGAUUGUAAACUGCUUUUAUACAGGAAGAAACCCUCCCACGUGUGGGAGCUUGACGGUACUGUAGGAAUAAGGAUCGGCUAACUCCGUG